Long non-coding RNA from Symphalangus syndactylus (siamang), 496 nucleotides. RefSeq lists it as uncharacterized. Lineage: Eukaryota; Metazoa; Chordata; Mammalia; Primates; Hylobatidae. The record is from RefSeq and is a predicted model, not a curated record.
GCAAACAGAGGGAGUGGGCUCCGGCCUAGGUCAGCCCAGAGAGGGCUCCCACAGAGCAGCGGCGGACUGAAGGACGGAAGGGCUCCUCAAGCGCGGCCAGAGUGGACACCAAGACCGAGGAGGCCCCUAGAGCGAGCGAGGACUGCUAGCAUGUUGUCACCUCUCAAUAUGACAAUGUGCAGAGAAAAGUCGGUGGGUUCAGCCUUGCCAGAUAAAAAGUAAUCAAAGAUACUGAUUAUCUUGGUGGAAUCUUGGAAAAGCUAAGCAGCUUCACUCUUAAUAAACAGACACUGAUCAGCAACGAGUAGUGCAGAGGGAGCUCCUCACAACUCGACCAGUGAACCCAAUUUGAGAACUGCAGGAGAAAUCAAUAUCUAUGCAGAUCAGGAACUUAGAAAACUAUCAGAUAUCUGGAAAUGAAGUAAAGCUUCUAAAGAAAAAAGCAGUGUGGAACUGCAGUGAUUUAAAAGAAAUAAGAUGGGACCCAUACACUCGG